Molecule: non-coding RNA, 3007 nt
Organism: Equus caballus (horse)
Lineage: Eukaryota; Metazoa; Chordata; Mammalia; Perissodactyla; Equidae
Source: RefSeq, a predicted model, not a curated record
UGACCCUUUGGUUAAUAACCUCACCUUUUUGGGGAGCUCAGGUUUUCCCUAGAUAUGUACCAUACUCCUCUUCCUACAAUUUAGGAGAAGGAUCCCUAAGUUGAGACAGGGACAAAAUGAAGUUCUCAUAUUGCUGUCAUGAUAACGGGUACGAAUGAAGUGACCAAAGACAUACUCUGCGUGAGCAAAAGGAUUCGGCUCUGCCCGCCUGAGAGCUCAGCUAAUGGGAUUGGUGAACUAGAAGGACUUCUUGAGAGGAGAAGGAAGGAAGCAGGUUGAUCUCCAGCCUGAAGGAGGAGCACAGGAAAGCACAGAAGUGUGAAGGAAAAAGGUUAACUAGGAUUUCAAAGCCCAGUCUGGCUGAGCAUCUCUGGAGGUUGGCAGCUGUUGGAUUUUGGUGUCUGUGUGCCAGUUAUUUGCUCUCCCAACAAUGUGUUAGGAUAAUCACCCACUGAAGGAUUUCAACACAUUACAUUUCCCCAGAAGCCUUUGUCUAACAAGGUCUGGAGGCUGGAGGUCCAAGAUCAGGGUGCCAGCAUGGUCCGGUUCUGGUUUCAGAACAUACAAGGGCUAGAAGAACAAGAUAAAUGAUACUACAGGGGAAAAACAUCAGACAGUUUCAGAAUUGUGAUACAUUCUACAGGACAACUGGCCAGGAUCCUCCUACUGAUAAUUAUCCAACAAUAAUGAGUCUUCCAAUUAGUCUAACGCUUCCCACAUCUGCUAUAUGGCCAUUGGCCAUCGCCGCAGCCUCAGUCAGGCAGGCCUCAGGCCCAUUUUGUGGAUGGAGAACUGGUGCUCUGCCCAGAGAAGAGAGCCAGCUGCCUUGCCUCAGCCACACAGCUUAUAAGUACUCAGGGAAGAACACAGCAUUCUUUCCCCAACACCUGUGUUUCUCAAUUCCCCUUCACCUCCAGCCCACCUCGUCCCAACUCUGAUGCCUCCAAUGCGGAAAUCAUUUUGAUUUCGUUUUUGUAACUGCAGUUAGGAGAACAGCUGAAACAGAACACACGCAGAAAAAUUGAAACCCACCCCACAUCUCGGUUCUGAUUUACCUAUUUGUAGAUUUGAGUCAUUGGCUACCAUCUGCUGAACCAGCUACCUGACUGUAUCCUCGGGGCGCCGUGGCUGACUCAAUUUGCUCCCUUUGCCUGGUGAAGGAGGACACACUCAAAGGCAAACCUGCUCACUCCGCAGUUUGCUCUUGAUUAUUCACUAAGACUUUCAAGACUUCUGUCUUAAGUGUCAAUAGAAGAACCCAAGUCUGAAUGUGGCCCUUUGUGCCCAACAUCUAGCCCAAUACCAGACACAGCCAAAUUCUUAGGUAGCUUUUCUUCUGAGGAUGUCUUUCCAGCACUUUUUGUCUUCAAAUAUUGACCCAACUUGAAGGGACACCCACAAAGCUGGGACAGCUUAAGCAUCAAAAUGAAUAACUGAUUGUAAAGGAUUGAAGCUCAUUGAAUAUCUAAAAAUCCAUGAGUCCACAAUGAUACUCAAAAAGAGAAAGCAAGCAAACAAGCAAGUAGAUUCUCACUUGUUAUAAUUGGAGUCUGCCAUUACACCAACUCCUUAUUCUGAAAAUAGGUAAAUAACUCUAUUUUAGGCAUUAAGCUCCAGUUGGUGAGGUAUGGUCUUCUUUAUGGAUGAAUACUGAGUAGUAAAUGUAGAAGAAAUGGUAAAAUUAGAAAAUCACCACUUGGCAAUCCCUAAAGAAAUAGUAGAUUCAAGCAAGAAUCAUUUAUGGACAAUAGGGGAAAUGUUGAUAGGGAAUUACAUUCACCUGGUGUCAAAGUACUAGCUCUCCCACACCAGAUUUCUCAGUAGUCACAAGAGGAAAACGUGGGGCAUCAGGUUAUGUGACAUAGACCCAAGAUCAGUCCUAGCACUACAAAAAUAGGACAGCCAGACAUUGUAUAUCUCUUGACAAGAUGCAAUAUAAAGUACCCAACAUGACCUAUAAAAUAUUCUCUUCAAAAAUAUUUCACCCAAAUCUAGUCAAGUCUUUAGAUACUACUUCCAAGUUACAGGAAAUAUAGGAGGUAGAAAAACAAGAUAAAUGACAUCACAAAAGGAGAAAAAAUCAAAUUACUCGAGAAUUGUGAUACAUUCUACAGGACAACUGGUCUUUUAUCCUCCGUAAAUCAGUGCCAUGAAAAUGAAGAGGAAACAAAGAGAUGGAUCCUAGCAUAGAUAAUCUACAAGAAUUAGAAUUAUGGGAUUCUCUCAAUUUCAGGAAGCUCACUUUCUUUCUAGAACAGUGCUCAGUGCAAGAACCAGGCUAUACUGAGCACUCAAUACGUAUGUGUUGAAUGAAAGAAUGAAUAGCAAGUGACUGAAUUCUAUAGAGGAGAUCAAACAGGCUCAGAGAGGUGGGUGCUGUGCCCAAUGUCAGGCAGCUGGUCAGUGGCAGAGCCAGGGCUAAAACUUCAUCUAUUAGCACUAACCUAGUGCUUGUUCCAUAAUUCUCUGUUUUUGCUUUUUCGUGUAUAAUUUAGUUCUAGAUUUAAAAAGACUAAGGAGACAUAACAGCCUUAUGUGCCCUACGAGACAAAUGUAAUGUGUGGUUUCUGGUUGGAUCCUGGUUUGAAUAAGCCAGCUGUAAAAGAUAUUCUGAGAACAACUGAGAAACUGAACACACACUGGUCCUAGAUGACGUUGAGGCAUCUCUGACAAUUCUGUCAGGUGAGAUAACGGUAUUGUGGUUACACAGGAAGUGGUCUGUCCUUAUUUUCUAGAGACACACACUAAAAUUUUUCGGGGUAAAAGUCAUGACAUUGCGGUAAUUUUCUUUAAAAUACUCCAGCACAAAAAACUUGGUCAAGCAUUUAUGCUAACAUGCUGAUAAGUAUUAAAUCUAGGAAAUGGGUACGUGAGUAUUUAUUAGACUAUUCUUUCUUUUGUUUGAAAAUGUUCAUACUAAGAUGAUAAAGAGAGAUCAGACAGACAGACAGUAGACAGCCAGCCAGCAAAAGCCUGGAGUUCUUUGAUUUCUCAAUGUUCCUACUGA